UAUUAGGUGACUGAAAUAGUGUAGGAUUUUUAAUCAUAUAAUGGCUUUGCCCCUAAUUA
Molecule: transfer RNA, 59 nt
Filed under: Stygobromus foliatus
Lineage: Eukaryota; Metazoa; Arthropoda; Malacostraca; Amphipoda; Crangonyctidae
Description: tRNA-Lys
Source: RNAcentral